Molecule: ribosomal RNA, 550 nt
Filed under: uncultured bacterium
Lineage: Bacteria
Description: bacterial SSU rRNA
Rfam family: Bacterial small subunit ribosomal RNA
Source: RNAcentral
UGGGGAAUUUUGGACAAUGGGCGCAAGCCUGAUCCAGCCAUGCCGCGUGUCUGAAGAAGGCCUUCGGGUUGUAAAGGACUUUUGUCAGGGAAGAAAAGGCUGUUGCUAAUACCGACAGCUGAUGACGGUACCUGAAGAAUAAGCACCGGCUAACUACGUGCCAGCAGCCGCGGUAAUACGUAGGGUGCGAGCGUUAAUCGGAAUUACUGGGCGUAAAGCGAGCGCAGACGGUUACUUAAGCAGGAUGUGAAAUCCCCGGGCUCAACCUGGGAACUGCGUUCUGAACUGGGUGACUAGAGUGUGUCAGAGGGAGGUAGAAUUCCACGUGUAGCAGUGAAAUGCGUAGAGAUGUGGAGGAAUACCGAUGGCGAAGGCAGCCUCCUGGGAUAACACUGACGUUCAUGCUCGAAAGCGUGGGUAGCAAACAGGAUUAGAUACCCUGGUAGUCCACGCCGUAAACGAUGAGUGCUAAGUGUUAGGGGGUUUCCGCCCCUUAGUGCUGCAGCUAACGCAUUAAGCACUCCGCCUGGGGAGUACGACCGCAAGGUUG